ACGUUCCCUAUUUUCUCCGGCUGAGCGCCGGCAGUGUUUGAGCUCAUCUUGUAUCGAAUUAACGCAUAGACUAGGGGCCCAUUAGUGGUCAGGGGCCCAAGUGAUUUUUGUUGGAAUUUUUUUUUUUAAAUUCACUGACCGGUGGGUCAGUGCCGGCCUUAGGCUGAUUGGACCUAUUGGGCCCAAUCAGGCCCCGCGCUCAGCUGCCCAGCCUGCCUCCAGCUUUGAUUGGCCCAGCCCACCCUCAGUCACAAGCUGAGCCCAAGCCUUCCCCCACAAUUGGCCCAGCCCACCUCCUACUCAGAUUGAUGGCCGGCUUGUGUGCAGUGCGCAGGAGCAGCACAGCGUGGGCCUGAACUUGCUCCUAGUAGCUUAAAUCUUUUGUCUAUGAUCAACAAUAAAUUACGAUCCAGUGGCCUUAAACCCCUGAAUCAGUUACACAGGUCCGGUAACAGUGCGCACUUUUCUCGAUAAAAGAAUGUGGGAGGAUUGGACUCCACCGAGCGCAUGAAGUCUACUGCUCUGGAGAAGCGCACAGUCUUACUGGAUGGCUGCUGUUAAGUUAACUGGGGGGAAGUGGGUUAAGGUCACAAGACAGAUCAUAAAUUCACUAUGCAUACUGGUUGCUGGAAAGGGGGGUUCUAAGGAUGCAAGACACAUGCCAUUGUUGUUGGCUAUGCUUGCUACAGUUUACAAUUAACUGUUUCAGGGUAUGGGGAGUAGAGACAGAAGACAACAGUAUUGUUCCCUAUUCUGCUGUUUAAAAUUAACUGUUACAGGGUAUUGAGGCAGGAUUAACUAUCCUAUUGUUGCUGACUCACUCUACUGUGAAACAUGAUGCUAUCAGGGCCAAGGCAGCUUUUGCAGUCAUCAUUUAGUGUACAGAACAAAUAGGAAGAGAUCAGGGCACAAAAAAAUGGGAGAGCUGUGUCAAAAUAUUCAAGAGGCAGUAGUCACAGUCUGAAGAGAAAGGGGAAAAUGGGCGAUACAAAGAAAAGAGGGGUGCUAGCUAAUGAACAGGAAGAGGUAGAGCAGUAUGUAAAGAGAAGUAACGAAAUAUUGGAAGAAAGAAAAAAGACAGAAAUAGAAGAAAGCAAGACACAGAUGUAUAAAAAAAGAAAAGGGAAAGAAAAGCAGAACAGGCAGCACAAAUAUAAGGGUUUGUAGUGUCUGAUUCAAAAUAAAGAGAACCGACUCAAUCAGAUCAACAGCUGUGUGGUGCCAUUACCCAGCAGGUCCAUUGGAUUAAGAAAGGACCGACUCCAUCUCUACUCUUCUCUCUUAACUCCUUUCCUCCAAGUAAAUAAUUUACUUGAUGUUAUU
Molecule: long non-coding RNA, 1323 nt
Organism: Xenopus laevis (African clawed frog)
Lineage: Eukaryota; Metazoa; Chordata; Amphibia; Anura; Pipidae
Exons: 3
Source: RefSeq, a predicted model, not a curated record